CAUUUCCCUGGACCAGCUGGUGCUCUCAGGUGGAGGUUGUGUCAAUCACCCUGGAUGAAGGAAGAUGUUUGUCUUGCUCUGCUCUCUGGGUCCCAGUGAUAAACAGAUAAGGAUGUAAGCUCUCAGCUACUGCUUCAGCGCCAUGCCUGCCUGCUGCCAUGCUCCCCACCAUGAUGGUCAUGGACUCACCCUCUGAAACUAUGAACAAGGCCCACAUUAAAUGUUACCUUUAUAACUUUC
Arvicola amphibius (Eurasian water vole) is the source of this 240-nucleotide long non-coding RNA. RefSeq lists it as uncharacterized. The transcript is spliced from 2 exons. NCBI's taxonomy places the organism in Eukaryota, Metazoa, Chordata, Mammalia, Rodentia, Cricetidae. The record is from RefSeq and is a predicted model, not a curated record.